GACGAACGCUGGCGGCGUGCUUAACACAUGCAAGUCGAACGGAAAGGCCCUGCUUUUGUGGGGUGCUCGAGUGGCGAACGGGUGAGUAACACGUGAGUAACCUGCCCUUGACUUUGGGAUAACUUCAGGAAACUGGGGCUAAUACCGGAUAGGAGCUCCUGCUGCAUGGUGGGGGUUGGAAAGUUUCGGCGGUUGGGGAUGGACUCGCGGCUUAUCAGCUUGUUGGUGGGGUAGUGGCUUACCAAGGCUUUGACGGGUAGCCGGCCUGAGAGGGUGACCGGCCACAUUGGGACUGAGAUACGGCCCAGACUCCUACGGGAGGCAGCAGUGGGGAAUAUUGCACAAUGGGCGGAAGCCUGAUGCAGCAACGCCGCGUGCGGGAUGACGGCCUUCGGGUUGUGAACCGCCUUCGCCUGUGACGAAGCGUGAGUGACGGUAAUGGGUAAAGAAGCACCGGCUAACUACGUG
Molecule: ribosomal RNA, 468 nt
Filed under: uncultured bacterium
Lineage: Bacteria
Description: partial 16S ribosomal RNA
Rfam family: Bacterial small subunit ribosomal RNA
Source: RNAcentral